Molecule: long non-coding RNA, 1397 nt
Filed under: Meleagris gallopavo (turkey)
Lineage: Eukaryota; Metazoa; Chordata; Aves; Galliformes; Phasianidae
Description: lncRNA (ENSMGAG00000021920.1)
Source: RNAcentral
GGGAAUCAGGAGCUGGAAGUUGAGUUUCUGUUGGAGAACAUGUGAGUUAAACCCCGUUAUUAUGGAAGCAGCAGCUCGGAGAAAGAUUCAUUGAUGCAGGGAACUGUUCUGUACACUCAGUCUCACCUCAAUCACAAGUCUCCCUUUCUCCGAGCUCAAUGUGUGCAUCAGCAGAUCACUAUAAGAAAAAAAAAUGUCACAGCAUGGAGAAUAAGUUCAUGAUUUUAAUUCCACAACAUUAUUUUGAAAUUGUUAUUUAUGUGGUUUGGAGUUGACUUUCAGAAGCUGGUGAUAUAUACUGCAGUAAGUCUAUGGGUUCUCUGGAUGGCUCAUAGCUGAGGAUAAUAUUGCUACCCAAUCUGAGACAUACCUGUAGUACCAAGAUUGUUACAAGAACUUCCCAGGUGCUUUAGUGCAAUUGAAUCAUUUCUGCUCUGUAAGCUACGUGGCUUCUAGUGAAAAUAAAGCAUGUUUUUACAAACAAUAGAAAGGAGCAAGUUUUCUCAGAGAGAAAAAUACAUCUUGUUUUAAAAAAAAAUCCAGAUGAUAUGAUUUCUAAAAUACAUGUUGUUUUUGUUUUUUUAGCCAGGAUCGUCCUGAAACCAUCAUCACAAAUGGGGCAGUAGUGUGCCGUGAGCUGGCCUGCUUGGAAGUUGAGUUUGACAGUAGGGUGAAAAAAAAACAAUUGGCAGAGAAUGAGCUAACGUUUACAGUGAGAGGAUCAUUUGAAGAAAUGCAGAGAGUUUCACUGGGCUCUGGCUCCCGUUCCCCUCUCCCAGAUCCCACUCUCUUCCACUAUGCCAAAUACAAGCAACCCUCAUUGGAUGUUGCACUCACAAAGAAGAGGAGGAUUCCCAGCUUUGUACGUUACCCCUGAACAUGGUAGUCAACAUGUCAGACAGACCUAUGAACUGACCUUUAUAUAUGAGUAGGCAGCAAGAGAAGAAUAUUUCCAUCUUAACCAAAAGGACCUCCAUGCUUCUUUUCAGUGUGCUUGUGUGCCAUGCAGAGAAAGGAGGAGCAGAAGCAUCCCCCUGACUUUACCUCUGAAGUUGCUCCCUUCUGAGCAGGAAGCAGUCAGCAAGGUAAUCAUCUGCCAACCGUUGAAAAUCCUUUGCAAACUUUCAAAAAUUCCUACUGGUUCCAAAGAUGCAGACAUUAAAGUCCCUCUGUCUUCAUGCAGAACUGAUUGUUUUCUAAGCUCCCUUGCAUCUAGUGUGACACAUAAUAAAGUAAAUUGAUUGGAGCAAAAUAAAUGGAAAAUUCAUGGGAGAAGGAGAAAGAAGAAAAUGUCUGAGCUGCUGCUCGUUCUCCUUAUAUGGUCAUGUCCUUUACCAAGCUGGAAGUCGCUGGAUGCUACUAGGGCAAAAGGGUGAGGCUUAGUCCCCUAGGAGGCA